CAAAACAGCAACCAGCAGACUGGGAAAAGGUC
RNAcentral lists this non-coding RNA (32 nucleotides) under Mus musculus (house mouse). The record is from RNAcentral. Lineage: Eukaryota; Metazoa; Chordata; Mammalia; Rodentia; Muridae.